GAUGAACGCUGGCGGCGUGCUUAACACAUGCAAGUCGAACGGGGUUAUUAAGAAGGAAUACCGGAUUAAUAACCUAGUGGCGGACGGGUGAGUAACGCGUGGAUAACCUGCCUUACACAGGGGGAUAACAACGAGAAAUCGUUGCUAAUACCGCAUAAGUGUGAUUUUCGCAUGAAGAUUACAUAAAAGCUCCGGCGGUGUAAGAUGGAUCCGCGUCUGAUUAGCUAGUUGGUGAGAUAACAGCCCACCAAGGCGACGAUCAGUAGCCGGCUUGAGAGAGUGGACGGCCACACUGGGACUGAGACACGGCCCAGACUCCUACGGGAGGCAGCAGUGGGGAAUAUUGCACAAUGGGGGAAACCCUGAUGCAGCGACGCCGCGUGAAGGAAGAAGGUCUUCGGAUCGUAAACUUCUAAUCAGCAGGGAAGAAGAAAGUGACUGUACCUGACUAAGAAGCCCCGGUAACUACGUGCCAGCAGCCGCGGUAAUACCAUACUCG
RNAcentral lists this ribosomal RNA (499 nucleotides) under uncultured bacterium. RNAcentral's name for it is "bacterial SSU rRNA". It matches the Rfam family "Bacterial small subunit ribosomal RNA", at positions 28 to 533 of the family's 1533-position model. The record is from RNAcentral.